RNAcentral lists this transfer RNA (71 nucleotides) under Candidatus Carsonella ruddii PV. RNAcentral's name for it is "tRNA-Trp (CCA) (tRNA-Trp-CCA-1-1)". It matches the Rfam family "tRNA". Rfam says of the family: Transfer RNA (tRNA) molecules are approximately 80 nucleotides in length. Their secondary structure includes four short double-helical elements and three loops (D, anti-codon, and T loops). Further hydrogen bonds mediate the characteristic L-shaped molecular structure. tRNAs have two regions of fundamental functional importance: the anti-codon, which is responsible for specific mRNA codon recognition, and the 3' end, to which the tRNAs corresponding amino acid is attached (by aminoacyl-tRNA synthetases). tRNAs cope with the degeneracy of the genetic code in two manners: having more than one tRNA (with a specific anti-codon) for a particular amino acid; and 'wobble' base-pairing, i.e. permitting non-standard base-pairing at the 3rd anti-codon position. The record is from RNAcentral. Lineage: Bacteria; Pseudomonadati; Pseudomonadota; Gammaproteobacteria; Oceanospirillales; Halomonadaceae.
AAGUCAAUAACUUAACGGUAAAGUAUUGAUUUCCAAAAUCAAUAAUAGAGGUUCAAUUCCUCUUUGGCUUG